Molecule: non-coding RNA, 746 nt
Filed under: Gossypium arboreum
Lineage: Eukaryota; Viridiplantae; Streptophyta; Magnoliopsida; Malvales; Malvaceae
Description: Bacterial large subunit ribosomal RNA
Rfam family: Bacterial large subunit ribosomal RNA
Source: Rfam by way of RNAcentral
UUUUUGAUGUAGUGAGUAAUAGCUCUGGUUGUUCGCUGUUCAAGAAUUCUUGUUUAGGCAGUUCAUACCAUCCACACAUAGUGUUUUGAUCUAAGAUUUCAAUUCUUCCAUGUUUCAGUAGUAGCAUAUUUUUUCAUGGAGCUAAGGUCCAAAAUAUGGAAGAAACAGGUGUUUCCACAACUCUACCACCCUGUCAAUUCCGUUCCACUUAAUCCCUAUUUCAUGACCACAUAUCUUUCCGGCUAAGUAAUGAGGGCGACUGUUUACCAAAAACACAGGUCUCUGCAAAGUCGUAAGACCAUGUAUGGGGGCUGAUGCCUGCCCAGUGCCGGAAGGUCAAGGAAGUUGGUGACCUGAUGACAGGGAAGCCGGCGACCGAAGCCUCGGUGAACGGCGGCCGUAACUAUAACGGUCCUAAGGUAGCAAAAUUCAUUGUCGGGUAAGUUCUGACUCGCACGAAAGGUGUAACGAUCGGGGCACUGUCUCGGUAGAGAGGCUCGGUGAAAUAGACAUGUCUAUGAAGAUGCGGACUACCCGCACCUGGACAGAAAGACCCUAUGAAGCUUCACUGUUCCCUGGGAUUGGCUUUGGGCUUUUCCUGCACAGCUUAGGUGGAAGGCAAAGAAGGCCUCCUUCUGGGGGGCCCGAGCCAUCAGUGAGAUACCAUUCUGGAAGAGCUAGAAUUCUAACCUUGUGUCAAGACCUACGGGCCAAGGGACAGUCUCAGGUAGACAGUUUCUAUGGGG